UUUUUCUUCUUCGUUUUCUGCUUUUUUUCUUUUUCUCGUUCUUCUUUUUCUUUUUUUUCUUGUUCUCGUUUUCUUCUUCGUUUUCUGAUUUUUUUUUCUUGUUCUUUUUCUUUUUUUCUUGUUCUUGUUCUCAUUUUUCUUCUUCGUUUUCUUCUUCGUUAUCUUCUUGUUCUUGUUCUCCCUUCCUUUCCUUUCCUCUCCCUUCCUUCCUUCCUUCCUUCCCGCCUUCCUUCCAUUCCUCCCUCGAAAUAAGUAACAAAAUUCGACUUAAAUCUGAAGAAAAAAAAAAUCAACAGUACUUUAAAAAAUGAAAUUAGAGAAAACAAACCAAAUCUAACAUUGCUAUAAGACGUUAGGGAAGGGAAUCCAAAACUACAACACCAGAUUCCAAUGCUACUUAAAAAUAUAACCAAAAUACAUUCACAUUUCAAGAACUUAUAGAAAUUCCAAGCUAUAAACUCACAAAUCCAACCCACGUACCAAAUAUAAGGUUUCCAACACCCCAUAAAUAAGAGGAUUAGGACUUUAAGUAGCAUCAGGCACUGGGUUGUAUAAGGUCUCUAACGAUCCUGGAAUAGGGGAUUGAAUCGUGUCGUGUAAGGUUUCCAAUGCUGUCUAUAGAGGAUCAAGAGGGCCUCGCCGAUGCUCUGACCAUCCCUCACUCCGUUGGUACUACUGCUAAGGAACCUUCGUGUUAUAUUGUCCAUUGUUUGUGAGUUCGUGUGUUUACCUUUGACGGAGAGGAGACGAAGAGAGGAUGAUGAAGAGGAGGAGGAGAGAGAUGAGUAGAAGAGACAGAAGGGAUGGAGUGGACGAAGAGAGAGAUGGAGAGAGGAGACUGAGAUGAAUAGGAAGGAAAAUAGGACGAAAGAGAUGUGAUUAUGAGCUGAAAGAAGAUGAUAAUAUGGCAGAGAAGAGAGCGAGAUGAUGAAGAGGAAGAAGAGAGAUGCGGAGAGAAGACUGACAUGAAUAAUAAGAAAGAGGGGACGAAAGAGAGGUCAUUAUGAGAUGAAAGAAGAUGAUAAUAUGGCAGAGAAGAGACUGAGGAAGAAGAGAGACGAGAAGAGAUUGAGACGCUGAGUAAGAAGGAAGAGAGAACGAUAGACAAGAUUAGAAGAAGGAAGUGACUGAGAGGAUGGAUGAAGAGAAGAAGAGAACAGAGAAGAGGGCUGAGAGGAUAAAUAAAGAGGAAGAGGAGACGAAAGAGAAGAUGAUGAUGAAAGUUUGCAAGAGGACCAAGAUAAAUAUGAAUGAAGAAGGAGAAGAUAAUGAUGAAUGAAGAGGAAGAAGAUUUUAAUUAUAGAGAAGAGGAAAGGAAGACGUGUAUAGAAGAGAUGGAGAUGAUAAAGAGGAAGAAGAGAUGACGAAGUGGAGGAAAAUGAUGAGGAUGAGGAUUUGAAUGAAGAUGAUGAUGAUGACGAAGAUGAUGAUGAUGAUAAUGAUAAAAAGACGUGUUACAGGAAGAAGAUGGUGAAGCAGAAGAGGUAAAGAAGAAGGAAGAAAUGUGGAAAGAUUAUGAUAGUGAAAAGAAGGGAGUAAUCACCAUAGAGUUUAAUUAAGAAAAAUGAUGAAGGAAGAUGACUACGAUGAUGAAGAAGGAGAUGAUGAUGGUGAUGGUGAUGGAAGCAAUAGAAAUAUGAAGUAGAGAAAGAGAGAGAGAGAGAGAGAGAGAGAGAGAGAGAGAGAGAGAGAGAGAGAGAGAGAAGCUUCGAAGCAUAAAGCAAGAUGGAUUAGAAGCAAGCUAGCAGGCACGAAAACAAGAUAUGCAUGAAGCAAAUCAGGCAAACAGUAUAAUCAGGCUGUAAAGCAGGCAGUAUAAAAGGCUGUAAGCAGGCCGGCAGGCAGGCAGGCAGGCGGGAGGGCAGGCAAAGCAGGCAGAUAUUACCCCAAGCGGCGCCUCACCCCGCCCGCCGUUCCCGCCAAGCCAGCCCGCCAUCGAGCCUGUUGUUGAUAUACUAGAUGCGGCAAAGCCUUGUAUUCCUCGUCGUUUAUGCGUCGUUUUAUCGUAGUAGUAACCGCUAGCGUAGGUGUAGGUCAAGGGUCUGAGCAGGGGCGGUAAGCGGUGACCCUCGGGCUGUGUUUAUACUCGUUACGUUCGUUCCCAGGCAUGAGUGUUUGGCCCGUGUCCCUACACGUGUCGGGUUGCCUCCCGCCACGACUCUCCCAAGGCCGCGGCACGGAUGGACUGAGUACAAGACUUGUGUAUUCGAAUACGAACACUUCAAAUUCCAACGAAUACGAAUUCGAAUACACUGAAAUAGUUUUAAUUUGAAUACAAAUAUGAAUACUUCUUGAAGAUAUUCAUGAAUACAUUCAUAAAUAUUUUUCUUUGAAAAAUACCUUCUUGACGUAACUGGGUAUAGCACUGUAUUAAAGUUAUGCAACAAUAACAUGAACUCAUGAACCUGUACUAUACACGGAAGUUACACGUCCGCCCAGGAGGCUAGAUUAUUCGAAUACGAAUACGAAUACUCCAUCCCUGGGCCACAGAGAAGAUUACCGGGGUUUCCAUGGGUGGUUCUCCUGUUCAAGGCGAUAAGUCGUGUAACAUUACCACUGAGAUCACGAAACACUCCAUGAACAGCCCGGCAACUUAUUCUUCCCAUUACCUCUCAUUACGACUAUUCCCCAACGCCUCAGAGAAGACAGUCCAUAAAAAGCCCAGCAACUUACACGAGAGGCAUCCCAAACAGGCGAAGUGAGGCGCCGAGACGUUUAAGAAUACGGGUUAAUUUUGUCCUUUGUUACUGUGGCGGUGGUGGUGGCGGGAAAGGUGGUGAGCUGCGUGCCUACUUAUAUUUUGCUCGUGUAUAAAUGUCCAUACAUAUCCCUAUACACAUAUCUCGACUUGUUUAAUUCCGGUCUUAGUAUCAUGCUAUUUAGUGUUCUUAUCCUUGUGCCGUUUGCGUGGUAUGAUUAAGAGAUGCGUUCGCUCGUGUAAGGUGGAAUAUAUCAAUACGGUUAUGCAUAUCUAGUCAUUUUAUCAGUAUUUAAGGCUUUUAGUUGUAUUUUUAUCGGUUUUCAUUCGUUUUGUGAUGUAUUGAUUGGUUAGUUCUGUUUUAUUUGUUAUUUAUUGGUGUUUCAUGAUUUGUUUCGAUUUGUUGUUCUUUUAGGCUCGCUCACCGUUGCCAGAUUAUCGUACUCCGAGCAUCACAUUUACCAGCUUCUCCCCCAUAAAUACCACCAGGAAACAGGAAUAAUAAACCAUUUCAACAAUAACUACAAACAAAUCUCGUUAUUGUGGCCCAGGAAACAGUUUUUGGGAUGGAAAUCGGGAAACAUGAGAAACUGAGUACGACAAUCUGGCAACGUUGGGCUCGCUUGGUAGUCUUCAGUUGUAAGUCGUGGGGGAAAGACGCGUUGUGUUGUGGUUGGGUGAUUGAGGUUACUUUUUGCCCUUCGUACGCCUAUUUUUUGCACAGAUCCAAUCCACAAAAGCCACACACACCUGGAGGGAAGACUUGCUUUCCUCCCAGACCGCCUCGGGCCCUUCAUCGGGUCCAGCAAGUCCUCCUGCCUCAGCUCCUCGAUAUCCUCCACCUUCACGGGAAGUUUUGCCGAGCCCUGAAGGAGGAAAAAGGAGGAGGGAGCGCAGGCGGUGUUGUCCUUCCACCAUGCGGUCAAUGAGGUCCACCGUUGCCGCCACGCCCACAUGGCAGCGCUCGCAGAUACACACCGGAAGCCGCCCAUCGUCAACCACCUGUGUGGAGAGAGGAAUGCUCCCCACAUCUGCAGCUACUAAGAAAAAACAUUGAUGUGCUGAUGUUACCCAGUGCCCACAGCCACUUCCCAGCAUCGUCCUUUUAGAGAUGAUUUGUCACCGUUACCUUUCUUUCUUCUCGCUCUUCUCUCCCUCCCUCUCACUUUUCUCCUUUACAGUAGCAACUUAAUAUCAUUGGUUACCUCCAAACCUUCAGACACUAUAUACCCCUAGUCAUAACCAUGCGCUUGUUGAAUGUCAUUUGUGUAAAACUAAUGCUUAUGUUUAAAGAAUAUUAGUUUUACACAUAUCAGGGUUUCUAUUCUAAUGGACCGUAUUGGCUAUACAAGCAGCGCCACAUGUGGCCACAUAACUCGAAGCUGUAUUUUCCAGAGCUCAAGUUAGAGCGUGUCUGAGGCUGUCUUAGGGAUACACAGCCGUGAUGCCGCCGUCACCCCAAGCAGAUGAUUGCACACUUCACGCCUACCCAAUUUCAAUUUUUCUCCGUGUCAAAUAGUAUUUUGUCAGGAAAUGAGUUAGGAGUAAAGUGUGUGCAGUCGUUGGCUUGGAGCGGUGGCGGCACCAAGGCCUUGUAUCCUGGAGGCAGCCGCAGACGCACUCUAGUUCAUAACUUGAG
Molecule: long non-coding RNA, 4337 nt
Organism: Eriocheir sinensis (Chinese mitten crab)
Lineage: Eukaryota; Metazoa; Arthropoda; Malacostraca; Decapoda; Varunidae
Exons: 4
Source: RefSeq, a predicted model, not a curated record